GUGCCAGCAGCCGCGGAUAAUACGUAGGUGGCAAGCGUUGUCCGGAUUUAUUGGGCGUAAAGCGAGCGCAGGCGGUUUCUUAAGUCUGAUGUGAAAGCCCCCGGCUCAACCGGGGGAGGGUCAUUGGAAACUGGGAGACUUGAGUGCAGAAGAAGAGAGUGGAAUUUCCAUGUGUAGCGGUGAAAUGGGUAGAUAUAUGGAGGGAACACCAGUGGCGAAGGCGACUCUCUGGUCUGUAAACUGACGCUGAGACUCGAAAGCGUGGGGAGCAAACAGGAUUAGAUACCCUGGUAGUCC
RNAcentral lists this ribosomal RNA (297 nucleotides) under uncultured microorganism. RNAcentral's name for it is "partial 16S ribosomal RNA". It matches the Rfam family "Bacterial small subunit ribosomal RNA", at positions 505 to 796 of the family's 1533-position model. The record is from RNAcentral.